GCCUGGGUGGCUUAGUCGGUUGAGUGUCUGACUUUGGCUCAGGUCAUGAUCUUGCUGUUCGUGGGUUCAAGCCCCACAUUGGGGU
RNAcentral lists this transfer RNA (85 nucleotides) under Felis catus (domestic cat). It matches the Rfam family "tRNA". From Rfam's summary of the family: Transfer RNA (tRNA) molecules are approximately 80 nucleotides in length. Their secondary structure includes four short double-helical elements and three loops (D, anti-codon, and T loops). The record is from Rfam by way of RNAcentral. Lineage: Eukaryota; Metazoa; Chordata; Mammalia; Carnivora; Felidae.